RNAcentral lists this ribosomal RNA (461 nucleotides) under uncultured bacterium. Its description in RNAcentral is "bacterial SSU rRNA". It matches the Rfam family "Bacterial small subunit ribosomal RNA", at positions 33 to 507 of the family's 1533-position model. The record is from RNAcentral.
GAGACGCUGGCGGCGUGCUUAACACAUGCAAGUCGAACGGAGUUACGUUUUCGGAUGUAACUUAGUGGCGAACGGGUGAGUAACGCGUGAGGAACCUGCCUCUCAGUGGGGGACAACAGUUGGAAACGACUGCUAAUACCGCAUAAUGUCAUUGGACGGCAUCGUUUAAUGACCAAAGAUUUAUUGCUGAGAGAUGGCCUCGCGUCUGAUUAGCUAGUUGGUGGGGUAACGGCCCACCAAGGCGACGAUCAGUAGCCGGACUGAGAGGUUGACCGGCCACAUUGGGACUGAGAUACGGCCCAGACUCCUACGGGAGGCAGCAGUGGGGAAUAUUGGGCAGUGGGCGAAAGCCUGACCCAGCAACGCCGCGUGAAGGAAGAAGGCCUUCGGGUUGUAAACUUCUUUUACCAGGGACGAACACAAUGACGGUACCUGGAGAAAAAGCAACGGCUAACUACGUG